CCAAUAGCGUAUAUUAAAGUUGUUGCAGUUAAAAAGCUCGUAGUUGAAUUUCGGGAUCGACGGGUCGGUCGCGCCUCUGGUGUGUACUGGCCCUGUCGGUUUCUCCCUUCUGACGAACCACGAUGUCAUUAAUUUGGUGUCGUGGGAAAUCAGGACUGUUACUUUGAAAAAAUUAGAGUGUUUAAAGCAGGCAUUCGCUUGAAUACAUUAGCAUGGAAUA
Molecule: ribosomal RNA, 220 nt
Filed under: uncultured Glomus
Lineage: Eukaryota; Fungi; Glomeromycota; Glomeromycetes; Glomerales; Glomeraceae
Description: partial small subunit ribosomal RNA
Rfam family: Eukaryotic small subunit ribosomal RNA
Source: RNAcentral